Molecule: small nucleolar RNA, 85 nt
Filed under: Ornithorhynchus anatinus (platypus)
Lineage: Eukaryota; Metazoa; Chordata; Mammalia; Monotremata; Ornithorhynchidae
Description: C/D box snoRNA Oa1833
Rfam family: Small nucleolar RNA SNORD90
About the family: snoRNA HBII-295 belongs to the family of C/D snoRNAs. It is the human orthologue of the mouse MBII-295 and has no identified RNA target.
Source: RNAcentral
GUCUAAUGAUGAGGACUCAUAGGGCAGAUUCUGAGGUGAGCACUGAACUCAUCACUGAUAAUUGUUUGAUGCGAUCUGAAGACAC